GACGAACGCUGGCGGCGUGCUUAACACAUGCAAGUCGAACGGAAAGGCCCUGCUUUUGUGGGGUGCUCGAGUGGCGAACGGGUGAGUAACACGUGAGUAACCUGCCCUUGACUUUGGGAUAACUUCAGGAAACUGGGGCUAAUACCGGAUAGGAGCUCCUGCUGCAUGGUGGGGGUUGGAAAGUUUCGGCGGUUGGGGAUGGACUCGCGGCUUAUCAGCUUGUUGGUGGGGUAGUGGCUUACCAAGGCUUUGACGGGUAGCCGGCCUGAGAGGGUGACCGGCCACAUUGGGACUGAGGUACGGCCCAGACUCCUUCGGGAGGCAGCAGUGGGGAAUAUUGCACCAUGGGCGGAAGCCUGAUGCAGCAACGCCGCGUGCCGGAUGACGGCCUUCGGGUUGUAAACCGCUUUCGCCUGUGACGAAGCGUGAGUGACGGUAAUGGGUAAAGAAGCACCGGCUAACUACGUG
RNAcentral lists this ribosomal RNA (468 nucleotides) under uncultured bacterium. RNAcentral describes it as "partial 16S ribosomal RNA". It matches the Rfam family "Bacterial small subunit ribosomal RNA", at positions 28 to 507 of the family's 1533-position model. The record is from RNAcentral.